GAGUAGAGGCAGGGAUACUAGCUAAGAAGCUGUUGCAGCAAUGAAAGAAGAAAUGAUGAGAACCUAAACUAAGGCAAUACUAAUGGGAGCAAAGAGAAGUGAAGAGAUUUCACAGGUUUAUAAGAAGAAAGUGGUAGGACUUGAAAAUUAAUUGGAUGUAAAGACCAAAGCAAGGGGCAGUCAAGGAUGGCUCCUGGAUUUCUGGCUUAAGAGACUAGGUGGAUGAAAGAGCAGAUGAGAACACCAAAGACAGAAUAUAUGGUUCUUCUAGAAGAUCCACUUUCAAUUUUACUAAAGUGAAUGACCCACUUCGAUGAAAAGAAUAAUGACUUCUAAGGUCUCUUACAACUCUAAUGUUACAAUUCUAUUGUUCAUCUGGAAUUGCCUUUUGAAGACAGCACACCUGUGGCCUAAAACUUCCUUGGUGAACAUGUGAAAUAUUUUUUAAUGAAAGUCCAUUACAUAUAAAGCCAUACAACCCCAAACAUGCAGUGAUAAUGCUUAUAGCAAAGAAAAACCAAGUAAAGACACUAUCUACAUUUACCUACUCUGAUCCCAAUUGGCUGCAAACAGCAAAAGAAUCUUCCUGCCAUAAUGGUCUCGGUUUUCCAGCACCCCGGGGAAUCCAUCGAUCAGAGCCCUCUUAAUGCCGGGAUCAUCUGCCUUGAAGUUUUUGAACAUGUCCAGGUUUAGCUGGCGGUACUGGAAAUACUGAGCCAGGAGUCUAAAGGCAUCCGCUUGGUGAAACUUCCUGGCUCGGAGAAAUCUCAGGAUGAAGGCAUCAUCUGUACGUAAAAAUCCAAUGUCAGGCCUGGUGAUGAUCAUGUCCCUGACUUGCUGAAUAUCCUGAUGUAAAACAUCGGGGUUCUCAUUCAGUUCCAGGCGAGCUUUCUCUAUAGUCUCUGGACUGAGUCCAGCCUGUAAAUGGGUCAUCUUGGCCAAAUCUCCGUUCCAAGUGUUUAACUUCUGAUAUUUUGGAAGAAGAGAGACUGGUCCCAUUCACCUGAUGGUCUGCUGAAACUGUGGCCCAUUCAACAGUGUUUUACUACCAGGCUGCCCCGGAACAGACAAAUAGAGGGUCUUCUUUCACAUUCAGGCCCUAUGUGGUGGUGUUCAUCCAAAACAGAAGCAAAACUGAGGCCAUUGCUUACUGAAAAACAAAUACACACAAAAGAAACAGAAGAGAGAUGAUGCAAAGAAAGUCUGGGCAAAUUAAUUGGAGCUUAGAUAGAAAAACAGUAUAUUAGGCUGUGGGUCUGAUUAGAUUAGGUGUCCAAAGAACAAAUGAUAAAUUAUCCUUAAAAUGGGGUAUUGAGCAUAAGUUGAUUGUAGACAACUUGAAAAUCUAAUAUGCAAAUAUUUGAAAUAUGUUUGGGAACGUUUUAGUUCCAUUGACUAGUUAACAUAAUAGUGCUUGAUCAGAUUAGCAAUAGCAUGCACUUUUAUUAAUUACCUUAAGAAACAGUGAGAGGAGAGAAGGAUACUUCUCUGUGACAGCAUGCUUUAUGGGACCACUCACAGGCCUGGAUAUGGCAGAGAAAUUAUAGCUAUAUGGUAAAAUUUAUUGCUUCCCAUUGGCCUCUUUUCUCAAACAGAAGUAUCUUUCACAGAAAUAACCCUUCCCCCACUUUCUUAAAGCCAGCCAUUUGCAUCUUAACUAUAAAAAACUUCCCCUAUUUUAACCCCGCCAGUGUUCGUGACUCACAGGAGUCCUCCACCAGUAUGUGUGAAGAGUGGGGGUGGGGACAGGCCUAUGGCUGAAAACUUGACCUCCAAUAAUCAAAUUCAACAAUGGGCAAGGAGGCUCACAGGGACAUUUGCAAAUGGCUUUAUUAUUUGCAUUUGCCAUUCUUUUACUAGGAAAGCAGAGGGACUUGAGACUCUUGGUUGGCUCCCUACCCAACCCAAUGUCCAUAUGGGCUUAAAAAUCCUUCCAUUGUAUAUAACCUGCCUGUUUUCCUAAGAUGCUGUUUUACUUAUGAUAAUGAUAUUUUAAUCCCCUCAGAUACAUCCUUUAUGAUUUCUCCACCAAAAUGGUAUACAGAGGAACACCCAUACUGUUUCCAUCUUAUUUUAAAUAUAAAUGCUUAAACUCUUGCAGACAUCUGUUUGGUCUAACCUGGAAGUUUCCAAAAUCAGAAGACACACUAAAUAUAAAUAAACUUAGAGGCAUUUAUUUUUCCUAGCUUUCUUAAGUCAAUCUUAUCUGCAGUAAGAGGCAGAAUAUUUACUCCCAAUCUAAUCAUUAUUGGUAAUGCUUUCUCAUACAAAAUUACUUAAAUGAUGAUUGUUCUGCUUAAUUUAGGACUAACUCUCUUAA
RNAcentral lists this long non-coding RNA (2320 nucleotides) under Pan troglodytes (chimpanzee). RNAcentral's name for it is "long non-coding RNA NONPTRT017083". Lineage: Eukaryota; Metazoa; Chordata; Mammalia; Primates; Hominidae. The record is from RNAcentral.